GGAUGAUCGCUGGCGGCGUGCCUAAUACAUGCAAGUCGAGCGAACUGAUUAGAAGCUUGCUUCUAUGACGUUAGCGGCGAACGGGUGAGUAACACGUGGGCAACCUGCCUGUAAGACUGGGAUAACUUCGGGAAACCGAAGCUAAUACCGGAUAGGAUCUUCUCCUUCAUGGGAGAUGAUUGAAAGAUGGUUUCGGCUAUCACUUACAGAUGGGCCCGCGGUGCAUUAGCUAGUUGGUGAGGUAACGGCUCACCAAGGCAACGAUGCAUAGCCGACCUGAGAGGGUGAUCGGCCACACUGGGACUGAGACACGGCCCAGACUCCUACGGGAGGCAGCAGUAGGGAAUCUUCCGCAAUGGACGAAAGUCUGACGGAGCAACGCCGCGUGAGUGAUGAAGGCUUUCGGGUCGUAAAACUCUGUUGUUAGGGAAGAACAAGUACRAGAGUAACUGCUYGUACCUUGACGGUACCUAACCAG
This 478-nucleotide ribosomal RNA is filed under the name Priestia megaterium. RNAcentral's name for it is "bacterial SSU rRNA". Lineage: Bacteria; Bacillati; Bacillota; Bacilli; Caryophanales; Bacillaceae. The record is from RNAcentral.